Molecule: transfer RNA, 66 nt
Filed under: Succinea putris (European ambersnail)
Lineage: Eukaryota; Metazoa; Mollusca; Gastropoda; Stylommatophora; Succineidae
Description: tRNA-Leu
Source: RNAcentral
UUUUUAAUGGCAGAUUUAUGCAAAGGUUUUAAGCACCUUAUAUGAUAAUUUUUUUAUUUUUAUCUU